UUCACCUCAUUUUAAGUGAGAUUGUAAUAUAAUUCAUGUUUAAAAAUGGCAUUUAUUAAAUCUCAAACCUGGUUUCUAAUUGUAAUUGCUGCUUGCUUACUUUGUGCUAAUCUACUGUCGGCUGCUGAUACCCCACCGGAUCCUAUAUUUUUGCCUGACGACACUUCAGGCAUACAGGAUGCAA
Molecule: non-coding RNA, 184 nt
Organism: Parasteatoda tepidariorum (common house spider)
Lineage: Eukaryota; Metazoa; Arthropoda; Arachnida; Araneae; Theridiidae
Source: RefSeq, a predicted model, not a curated record